UACGUAGGGACCGAGCGUUGUCCGGAUUUAUUGGGCGUAAAGAGCUCGUAGGCGGCCGUUCGCGUCGGAUGUGAAAGCUCAGGGCUCAACCCUGAGAGGCCAUUCGAUACGGGACGGCUAGAGGUAGGUAGGGGAAAGUGGAAUUCCUGGUGUAGCGGUGAAAUGCGCAGAUAUCAGGAGGAACACCGGUGGCGAAGGCGGCUUUCUGGGCCUUACCUGACGCUGAGGAGCGAAAGCUGGGGGAGCGAACAGGAUUAGAAACCCCGGUAGUCC
This 273-nucleotide ribosomal RNA is filed under the name uncultured bacterium. RNAcentral describes it as "partial 16S ribosomal RNA". It matches the Rfam family "Bacterial small subunit ribosomal RNA", at positions 524 to 796 of the family's 1533-position model. The record is from RNAcentral.